This 2408-nucleotide long non-coding RNA is filed under the name Marmota monax (woodchuck). Lineage: Eukaryota; Metazoa; Chordata; Mammalia; Rodentia; Sciuridae. The record is from RNAcentral.
CAGGGGGAGCUGGUGAAGAGGAAGGGCAGAGAGGGUUUGUGUGAAGGAAAGAAGAGGCCUGGACUCAGAGAAGUCCCCUCCACUUCCUGGACCGCUCAGAAGUCACGUCAGUUCCUAAGAAUGUCAGGGUCAAGAGGGCCAUUAGGUGGCCGUUUGCAGUUGUUGUCUAAAUCAUACUGAGGCCAUGCUCGAUUGUAGAGAGAAGUGAGUUGUUGUGCCUUCAGGUCUGGGGCCAAAGAGGGAGGCUUAAGGUAGUUAGCAGACAUUCCAAAGUGAUUGAAGGAGAUUCCCUGAGAGAUUGGAGCAUUUUACUCCAAUCGGGGGUUCACUGAAGCAGCUCGGAUCGAUCCCGGAGGGAGAGCAGGGCUGAGGGUGAGACCUCCUAGGUCCAUGGCCGAUGCAUCAAGAUGGGAGGACAGACGCUCAAAGAAGUCUCAUGCCAGAAAGCAAGGUUUACUGACAGGAGAGGGCUGCCAGGCUGCCCAGGGGAUGGCCAGCAGCCAGCGUCACUUGAACCGGUUUGUUAUGUCUUUCUUUAACAAGGAAAAAGAGCAAGCUGGAAUGGACCUAGAGUGCAGGUGGCCGGGGACCCACGGAACUUUGUAUUUAGGGACCUUGGAAAGGGGCAGGUAGGCGAACGGGGUAUCUUUCGUUUCUUUCUCUUAGCAGUUUAUAAGUUUUGGGUUGGGGUUAAGAUGUAGUUCUAGAAUUAAAAUGGAAUCACUGAUGUCCAGGAUGUCCCACUAGACCUGCCUCAGCUCAGGCCUAAAGCUAUGGAGUUGGUGCUCUCUCUCUCUCUCUCCCUCUCCCUCUGUCUCAUCUCGCUUUUGCUUUCAUAUUAUUACUAAAAUAAACACUACCUUGUAUGAAGAGACCAUCUUUGUUGUUUUUUGGAUCUGACCUGCCAAAUCCAGCAGCUGCACACACAUACAGAUGGAUCUAGUCAGCAGGAUCCUGGGGACAACAUGCACCUCUUCAAAAUGGCUGAAGCUAACUGUGUCAUCUGUGACUUUCCAACAUGGGCGGAUCCCCUGAUUUCUCCUCUAGUCCAAGAAUGGGAGCAAGAUACAGGUCCUGGUGAGGAAUGGGGCGGGGAUGACGGAACAGUGACCCUCUUCAAGUUAUUGCUUGUCUACAGAGCGCGACAGCAGAAAAAGAAAACAAAAUGACCGGUGUGUACAAAAAACCAAAAAAAACCCAAAUACUAUGAGAUUGUUUUGUUUCUGGGUCUUAGCUAAAAGCAAUGUUACUAGAGUUAAAAUUCCAACAGGUGUUAAUUCUAUAUGCAAAAAGCACAAACAUUUUCCACUGUGUUUCACAUAGUACUGUAGUAAGUGUCAAGCAUUUCAUCUUAUUAAAAAGGAGUAAUUUGUCUAAAUUCAGAAAUUUUAGAAGGGUUGCUUCAGAAUGAGAUUUUUCUUUCAUUUAUUUAUUUAUUCUAAUUUGUUAUACAUGACAGCGGAAUGCAUCUCCGUUCAUAUUACACAUAUAGAGUACAAUUUUUCAUGUCUCUGGUUGUACCCAAAGUAGAGUCACAUCAUUCAUGUCUUCAUACAUGUACUUAGGGUGAUGAUGUCCAUCUCAUUCCACUGUCUUUCCUACCCCCUGCCCCCUCCCUUCCCCUCCCUCCCCUUUGCCCUAUCUGAAGUUCCUCCAUUCCUCCCAUGCUCCCCCCAUCCCCAUUAUGGAUCAGCAUCCUCAUAACAGAAAAUAUUCAGCAUUUGGUUUUUUGGGAUUAAAUGACUCCACUUAGCACAAUAUUUUUCAACACCAUCCAUUUACCUGCAAAUAUCAUGACUUUAUUAUUUUUAAUGCUGAGUAGAAUUCCAUUGUGCAUAUAUACCAAGGUUUCUUUAUCCAUUCAUCUGUUGAAGUGCACCUAGAUUGGUUUCAUAGCUUAGCUAUUGUGAAUUGAGGUGCUAUAAACAUUGAUAUGGCUACGUCACUGUAGUUUGAUGUUUUUAAGUCUUUUGGGUAUAAUCCAAGGAGUGGGAUAGAUGGGUCAGAUGGUGGUUCCAUUCCAAGUUUUCUAAGAAAUCUGCAGACUGCUUUCCAUAUUGGCUGCACCAAUUUGCAGUCCCACCAGCAAUGUAUGAAUGUGUCUUUUCCCCACAUCCUCGCGAACACUUAUUGUUGUUUAUAUUCUUAAUAGCUGCCAUUCUGACUGGAGUGAGAUGAAAUCUUAGAGUAGCUUUGAUUUGUAUUUCUCUAAUUGCUAAAAAUGUUGAACACUUUUUCAUAUAUUUGUUGAUUGAUGGUAUAUCACCUUCUGAGAAGUGUCUAUUCAGUUCCUUGGCCCAUUUGUUGAUUGGGUUAUUUGUUGUUUGGUGUUAAGAUUUUAUAUAUAUAUAUAUAUAUAUAUAUAUAUAUAUAUAUAUAUAUAUAUAUAUAUAUAUAUAUCUCCUAGA